CAGGCAUUAUCCACGACGCCAUGUUGCUUCUUGCUGCUGAUUCCCCUAUUCGAAGUCCUCCUCCAAUCCCACCUCCCCCCGGAAGCCUUCCCAGAUUAAUUCUCAACCCCUGAUGACGUCAACCUCUCGCUCUCCUGCGGCGCUUCGGUCUUCCCGUCUUCGACCCUUCCAUAUCUGUAUGCCUAUUUGACGUAGAUUGUGUGAUGACAUCUCGAUAAACGUCAGCCGCUUCGCUCUA
This is a long non-coding RNA of Ornithorhynchus anatinus (platypus), 238 nucleotides long. RefSeq lists it as uncharacterized. Lineage: Eukaryota; Metazoa; Chordata; Mammalia; Monotremata; Ornithorhynchidae. The transcript has 2 exons. The record is from RefSeq and is a predicted model, not a curated record.